This is a long non-coding RNA of Pan troglodytes (chimpanzee), 537 nucleotides long. RefSeq lists it as uncharacterized. The record is from RefSeq and is a predicted model, not a curated record. Lineage: Eukaryota; Metazoa; Chordata; Mammalia; Primates; Hominidae. The transcript is spliced from 2 exons.
UUUUCCGUAGAAUGAAGUUGGAAGAAUAAGGCUGGAGGAUAUUCAGUGGGAGAGAACUACCUUUGCUAAGCAGUGACUCUGAGUCCAGGCAUAAAAUAUACUCUUUAUGUAGAAAUCUGAUUUAAUCCUCAUUAUUCCCCUAUGAAGUAAGGAUUCUUACUUUCAUUUUUCAGAAAGAAAACAGAGGCUUAAUGAGGCAAAGGCAACAUGUCCAAGACCACACAGCUGACUGCUUCAAUAAAUAUCCUUGAACAUACAUCACGUCAUGUGUGUGAGAGAAAGAGGGAGACAGAGAGGCAGAGAGAUACAGAAGGAGAGAAUGAGAGAGAGAAGACGUGAAGAUGCAGAGUCAAGGGCACGAGUGUUUUGAGAUGUGGAGAAUAUUUGCCCCCCUUCUUUAUAUGUGCGCUGGCUGCUCAUGUGCUGACUAGGUGGGGCUGGCCUGUGGACUCCCUGACUGAUGGGAGGAAACUGUCAGAGAUACCAAGAUAUACGCUGUUUGUCUCAGUUCUUGUGACAACACGGUGAGGCAUGGAG